Molecule: ribosomal RNA, 253 nt
Filed under: uncultured bacterium
Lineage: Bacteria
Description: partial 16S ribosomal RNA
Rfam family: Bacterial small subunit ribosomal RNA
Source: RNAcentral
GACAGAGGGUGCUAGCGUUGUUCGGAAUUACUGGGCGUAAAGGGCGCGUAGGCGGCUAUGUAAGUCAGACGUUAAAUACCUGGGCUCAACCUAGGAAUCGCGUUUGAUACUGUGUAGCUAGAGGAUGGAAGAGGAGAGUGGAAUUCCUAGUGUAGAGGUGAAAUUCGUAGAUAUUAGGAAGAACACCAGUGGCGAAGGCGGCUCUCUGGUCCAUUACUGACGCUAAGGCGCGAAAGCGUGGGGAGCAAACAGG